This is an RNA transcript of Dendrobium catenatum, 1589 nucleotides long. It is a transcript of the gene named putative HVA22-like protein g, with no coding region annotated. The transcript is spliced from 9 exons. NCBI's taxonomy places the organism in Eukaryota, Viridiplantae, Streptophyta, Magnoliopsida, Asparagales, Orchidaceae. The record is from RefSeq and is a predicted model, not a curated record.
GAGCUGCUACGAGAGGUUGCCGUAAGUCAUUCUCGUUUAGAAAUUGGAGAGCGGCUGCUUUUUCCGGUCGGCGGCGGUGGAAGCGCGGGAGCCUCCGGCGACGGUUUCUGUCUUUCUCCUCUCCCUCUCUCUCACUCAUAAAUUAGACCAAAAUCGAGAGAAAGGAUUCCUUCUCCAGGAGGUUUUUCUGAGCUAUUUUUUUCUUUCACUCUCACUGACCGGCGUUUCUCGUGCUUCGAUUCUUUUCCACUUGCUGAAGCUUGCAGCAAGUUCCAGAAGAUUGUGGCCGGCCGCUGAGGGGGCAGUUAUAGUAUAUGUUCAUGAUACGAGGUUCAAAAUGAUAGGAUCUUUGCUUACUAGAACCCUCGCAUUGGUUCUUGGAUAUGCUUAUCCAGCAUAUGAGUGCUUCAAAGUUGUGGAAUUGAAUCGCCCAGAGAUUGAGCAGCUACGGUUCUGGUGCAAGUAUUGGAUAUUAGUUGCUGUUCUAACAGUUCUUGAGAGGGUUGGAGACACUUUCAUCUCAUGGUUGCCGAUGUACAGUGAAGCAAAGGUGGCAUUCUUUGUGUACCUUUGGUAUCCAAAGACCAGGGGAGCAACUUAUGUGUAUGAAACCUUCUUACAACCAUAUGUUGCAAGUCAUGAAACUGAAAUUGAUCGCAACCUUUUAGAGCUGAAAACCAGGGCAGGGGAUUUUGCUGUGCUUUAUUGGCAAAAGGUUGCAAACUAUGGCCAGACUCGGGUAUAUGAGGUCUUGCAGUAUGUAGCUUCUCAAGCACCAUCACAACAGUCAAGGCCCCGAACAACUUCGCAGAGGCAACCAUCUCACCAAAGUAGACAAACACCAGCAACAGAAUUACAAUCACCUGCUCCUCAAGCAGCAGCAGCAGCAGUAGCUCAGACACAGCAGCCUAAUCAACCACCUUCCAGUCCCACCAAAAGGGUUGAUCAAGAACCUAUAAAAACUGGAGGUGGCCCUUCUGCAGCCCCAACUCCUUCCCAUACCCACUCAUCAUCGGCCAAUAGCACACAACCUACUGCUUCAGAAAAUACAUCUAGACCAUCAAUAAAUGGGGAAGUAAACCAGAUUGCUGCUUCAACAGCUUCCUCUGCCGCCAAUGCUCAACCUGAGGAUACACCUAUGGAAGAGGCUAUUCGCGUGACACGUGGAAGGUUGAGAAGGAAAGCUGCCUCUAUCGUCCCCCCUUCUGCUCACUAGCCUGAAACAGUCACCCUCUCACUGAUAAAAUAUUCUAGCUUGGAAAUGGGUUAAAGAUGGUGUUCCAUCCCAGGUGGCAAACUUGUUUUACCGCCUCUUUCAACAGCAACAGCUUCUAUGCCUUUCAAAAAGGCUUCAGCACUUCUGCAGACAAUUCUAAUUUAGCACUAUUGAAGAAAAUUGUACAUCCAUGGAGGUAUGAUCCCAAAGUUUAGGGCUAUUAACGGCUGUACACAAAUGAAUGAUGUUUUUUCGAGUUUGCUUUGUUUUUGUUAUUGCUUGAAAUCUUUAUAUUUUUAAUCGGUUCAUUAUUGUUUGACUUCUUUGUUGUUCAUGCGGAGCCAAUUUUUUAAGAUAAAUUAUUCACGAGAGA